AGUUUGAUCCUGGCUCAGGAUGAACGCUAGCUACAGGCUUAACACAUGCAAGUCGAGGGGAAACGACAUCGAAAGCUUGCUUUUGAUGGGCGUCGACCGGCGCACGGGUGAGUAACGCGUAUCCAACCUGCCCACCACUUGGGGAUAACCUUGCGAAAGUAAGACUAAUACCCAAUGAUAUCUCAAGAAGCCAUCUGAAUGAGAUUAAAGAUUUAUCGGUGAUGGAUGGGGAUGCGUCUGAUUAGCUUGUUGGCGGGGUAACGGCCCACCAAGGCUACGAUCAGUAGGGGUUCUGAGAGGAAGGUCCCCCACAUUGGAACUGAGACACGGUCCAAACUCCUACGGGAGGCAGCAGUGAGGAAUAUUGGUCAAUGGGCGAGAGCCUGAACCAGCCAAGUAGCGUGCAGGAUGACGGCCCUAUGGGUUGUAAACUGCUUUUAUAAGGGAAUAAAGUGAGCCUCGUGAGGCUUUUUGCAUGUACCUUAUGAAUAAGGACCGGCUAAUUCCGUGCCAGCAGCCGCGGUAAUACGGAAGGUCCGGGCGUUAUCCGGAUUUAUUGGGUUUAAAGGGAGCGUAGGCCGGAGAUUAAGCGUGUUGUGAAAUGUAGACGCUCAACGUCUGCACUGCAGCGCGAACUGGUUUCCUUGAGUACGCACAAAGUGGGCGGAAUUCGUGGUGUAGCGGUGAAAUGCUUAGAUAUCACGAAGAACUCCGAUUGCGAAGGCAGCUCACUGGAGCGCAACUGACGCUGAAGCUCGAAAGUGCGGGUAUCGAACAGGAUUAGAUACCCUGGUAGUCCGCACGGUAAACGAUGGAUGCCCGCUGUUGGUCUGAAUAGGUCAGCGGCCAAGCGAAAGCAUUAAGCAUCCCACCUGGGGAGUACGCCGGCAACGGUGAAACUCAAAUGAAUUGACGGAAGGGCG
This 923-nucleotide ribosomal RNA is filed under the name uncultured bacterium. RNAcentral's name for it is "bacterial SSU rRNA". It matches the Rfam family "Bacterial small subunit ribosomal RNA", at positions 10 to 923 of the family's 1533-position model. The record is from RNAcentral.